This 732-nucleotide ribosomal RNA is filed under the name uncultured Bacilli bacterium. RNAcentral describes it as "bacterial SSU rRNA". It matches the Rfam family "Bacterial small subunit ribosomal RNA", at positions 42 to 745 of the family's 1533-position model. The record is from RNAcentral. Lineage: Bacteria; Bacillati; Bacillota; Bacilli.
GCGUGCCUAAUACAUGCAAGUCGAACGCUUCUUUCCUCCCGAGUGCUUGCACUCAAUUGGAAAGAGGAGUGGCGGACGGGUGAGUAACACGUGGGUAACCUACCCAUCAGAGGGGGAUAACACUUGGAAACAGGUGCUAAUACCGCAUAACAGUUUAUGUCGCAUGGCAUAAGAGUGAAAGGCGCUUUCGGGUGUCGCUGAUGGAUGGACCCGCGGUGCAUUAGCUAGUUGGUGAGGUAACGGCUCACCAAGGCCACGAUGCAUAGCCGACCUGAGAGGGUGAUCGGCCACACUGGGACUGAGACACGGCCCAGACUCCUACGGGAGGCAGCAGUAGGGAAUCUUCGGCAAUGGACGAAAGUCUGACCGAGCAACGCCGCGUGAGUGAAGAAGGUUUUCGGAUCGUAAAACUCUGUUGUUAGAGAAGAACAAGGACGUUAGUAACUGAACGUCCCCUGACGGUAUCUAACCAGAAAGCCACGGCUAACUACGUGCCAGCAGCCGCGGUAAUACGUAGGUGGCAAGCGUUGUCCGGAUUUAUUGGGCGUAAAGCGAGCGCAGGCGGUUUCUUAAGUCUGAUGUGAAAGCCCCCGGCUCAACCGGGGAGGGUCAUUGGAAACUGGGAGACUUGAGUGCAGAAGAGGAGAGUGGAGUUCCAUGUGUAGCGGUGAAAUGCGUAGAUAUAUGGAGGAACACCAGUGGCGAAGGCGGCUCUCUGGUCUGUAACUGACG